This 421-nucleotide ribosomal RNA is filed under the name uncultured bacterium. RNAcentral's name for it is "bacterial SSU rRNA". It matches the Rfam family "Bacterial small subunit ribosomal RNA", at positions 359 to 773 of the family's 1533-position model. The record is from RNAcentral.
GAAUCUUCCGCAAUGGACGAAAGUCUGACGGAGCAACGCCGCGUGAGUGAUGAAGGUUCUCGGAUCGUAAAGCUCUGUUGCCAGGGAAGAACGCUUGGGAGAGUAACUGCUCUCAAGGUGACGGUACCUGAGAAGAAAGCCCCGGCUAACUACGUGCCAGCAGCCGCGGUAAUACGUAGGGGGCAAGCGUUGUCCGGAAUUAUUGGGCGUAAAGCGCGCGCAGGCGGUUGAUUAAGUCUGGUGUUUAAGGCUAGGGCUCAACCCUGGUUCGCACUGGAAACUGGUGAACUUGAGUGCAGAAGAGGAAAGUGGAAUUCCACGUGUAGCGGUGAAAUGCGUAGAGAUGUGGAGGAACACCAGUGGCGAAGGCGACUUUCUGGGCUGUAACUGACGCUGAGGCGCGAAAGCGUGGGGAGCAAAC